GCUGAGUUAUUCAACUCUAAAAACCAUUUGUGAACGAUACCGAACCGUUACUGCUUUGGCGGACGGUCCUUCUGGAUUGGGCCGGUAAGUAAUUACGCAAACUCUUGUUAUUUCUAUAGAUUAUUCAUUGCUGAGUUACUAUUUACAAUAAGUUAA
This 156-nucleotide unclassified non-coding RNA is filed under the name soil metagenome. RNAcentral's name for it is "partial internal transcribed spacer 1". The record is from RNAcentral.